GACGAACGCUGGCGGCGUGCUUAACACAUGCAAGUCGAACGGAAAGGCCUGUCCUUCCUUGUGUUGGACGGGUACUCGAGUGGCGAACGGGUGAGUAACACGUGAGUGAUCUGCCCCCAACUUGGGUAUAAGCCUGGGAAACUGGGUCUAAUUCCCGAUAGGACUGCAGGGUGGUGCCUGUGGUGGAAAACGAUUUUCUAGUGGUUGGGGAUGAGCUCGCGGCCUAUCAGCUUGUUGGUGGGGUAAUGGCCUACCAAGGCGGCGACGGGUAGCCGGCCUGAGAGGGUGGACGGCCACAUUGGGACUGAGAUACGGCUCAGACUCCUACGGGAGGCAGCAGUGGGGAAUAUUGCACAAUGGGCGGAAGCCUGAUGCAGCGACGCCGCGUGGGGGAUGACGGCCUUCGGGUUGUAAACUCCUUUCGACCGCGAGGAAGCCGCCUGGUUGGAAGGGUGGUGACGGUAGUGGUAGAAGAAGCACCGGCUAACUACGUG
This 494-nucleotide ribosomal RNA is filed under the name uncultured bacterium. RNAcentral's name for it is "partial 16S ribosomal RNA". It matches the Rfam family "Bacterial small subunit ribosomal RNA", at positions 28 to 507 of the family's 1533-position model. The record is from RNAcentral.